RNAcentral lists this ribosomal RNA (476 nucleotides) under uncultured bacterium. RNAcentral describes it as "partial 16S ribosomal RNA". It matches the Rfam family "Bacterial small subunit ribosomal RNA", at positions 30 to 506 of the family's 1533-position model. The record is from RNAcentral.
AUUGAACGCUGGCGGCAUGCCUUACACAUGCAAGUCGAACGGUAACAGGUUAAGCUGACGAGUGGCGAACGGGUGAGUAAUGUAUCGGAACGUGCCCAGUCGUGGGGGAUAACUGCUCGAAAGAGCAGCUAAUACCGCAUACGACCUGAGGGUGAAAGCGGGGGAUCGCAAGACCUCGCGCGAUUGGAGCGGCCGAUAUCAGAUUAGGUAGUUGGUGAGGUAAAGGCUCACCAAGCCGACGAUCUGUAGCUGGUCUGAGAGGACGACCAGCCACACUGGGAGUGAGACACGGCCCAGACUCCGACGGGAGGCAGCAGUGGGGAAUUUUGGACAAUGGGCGCAAGCCUGAUCCAGCCAUGCCGCGUGCGGGAAGAAGGCCUUCGGGUUGUAAACCGCUUUUGUCAGGGAAGAAAAGGUUCUGGCUAAUACCUGGGACUCAUGACGGUACCGGAAGAAUAAGCACCGGCUAACUACGU